GACGAACGCUGGCGGCGUGCUUAACACAUGCAAGUCGAACGGAAAGGCCCUGCUUUUGUGGGGUGCUCGAGUGGCGAACGGGUGAGUAACACGUGAGUAACCUGCCCUUGACUUUGGGAUAACUUCAGGAAACUGGGGCUAAUACCGGAUAGGAGCUCCUGCUGCAUGGUGGGGGUUGGAAAGUUUCGGCGGUUGGGGAUGGACUCGCGGCUUAUCAGCUUGUUGGUGGGGUAGUGGCUUACCAAGGCUUUGACGGGUAGCCGGCCUGAGAGGGUGAACGGCAACAUUGGGACUGAGAGACGGCCCAGACUCCUACGGGAGGCAGCAGUGGGGAAUAUUGCACAAUGGGCGGAAGCCUGAUGCAGCAACGCCGCGUGCGGGAUGACGGCCUUCGGGUUGUAAACCGCUUUCGCCUGUGACGAAGCGUGAGUGACGGUAAUGGGUAAAGAAGCACCGGCUAACUACGUG
RNAcentral lists this ribosomal RNA (468 nucleotides) under uncultured bacterium. RNAcentral's name for it is "partial 16S ribosomal RNA". It matches the Rfam family "Bacterial small subunit ribosomal RNA", at positions 28 to 507 of the family's 1533-position model. The record is from RNAcentral.